RNAcentral lists this ribosomal RNA (433 nucleotides) under uncultured bacterium. Its description in RNAcentral is "partial 16S ribosomal RNA". It matches the Rfam family "Bacterial small subunit ribosomal RNA", at positions 29 to 507 of the family's 1533-position model. The record is from RNAcentral.
AACGAACGCUGGCGGCAGGCCUAACACAUGCAAGUCGAGCGCCCGCUUCGGGGGGAGCGGCGGACGGGGGAGUAGCGCGGCGGAACGGGGCCUUUUCUACGGGAUAGCCUCUGUAAACUGGGAGUAAUACCGUAAACGCUCUGCUGGGAAAAGAUUUGUCGGAAAAGGAUAGGCCCGCGUUGGAUUAGGUAGUUGGUGGGGUAAUGGCCUAUCAAGCCGACGAUCGAUAGCUGGUUUGAGAGGCUGAUCAGCCACACUGGGAGUGAGACACGGCCCAGAAUCUUACGGGAGGCAGGAGUGGUGAAUCUUAGACAAUGGGGGCAAUCCUGAUCUAGCUAUGCCGCGUGAGUGAUGAAGGCCUUAGGGUUGUAAAGCUCUUUCAGCUGGGAAGAUAAUGACGGUACCAGCAGAAGAAGCCCCGGCUAACUCCGUG